CUCUUUUACGGCAGCCACUUCUCUGAUAAUGAGCGGUCAUGGCCGACCAAAGAAGAAUACUGUCAGUUAGAUCUUCUAUUGUUUACUGAUUCAUUGUGUGUCUGAAAAUUAGUGUAGUCACGUUGUGCAAUUGUUGUCUAUAAUGGCAUGACAAACCGUUUUAGUGAUAAAUGUUUUGAGUUGAUCAAACGAGCUGGUUUCUUUGAGUGGUUUUAGUGUUUGUUGUUGUGCAGUUUCCGUGUUUAUAGAGGUACAAAUUUUGAUUGUUGAACGAAAUUUUAAGAUGGUGAUGAUGUGAAUGCGUCGACAGUCACACGGGUGCUGCGUUUUUGUGAGGAUUCGCGAAUCGGGUGCGGUCGUCAAUCCUCGACGCGCGCCCGACUCGCAUCAAACCGCACCAUGGAAUGUUGUUGUUGUUGUUGUUUUUUUUUUGUGUAAAAAUCGAUUUAGGGCAGACAUCGUGCCUUUCCCGCUGCUCUGUCUCCGACGUCUCCGCCGCUGCUUAAUCUCCUCCACCGUCCUCUCCGUCUUCUACCUCCACCGGCAGCAUCCUCUCCGUCCGGCUUCCGCUGCUCUCUCUCCUCCACCGGCGGCAUCUGCUCUCUCUCCUCCACCAGCGGCAUCUGCUCUCUCUCCUCCACCAGCGGCCGCUGCUCUCUCUCUCUAAAAUUAGAUGGCUUUUGAGAGAGAGGGAGAGAUAGAGAGCGGUUCGGAGAUCAAUUUUGCUAUUUAACGUCUUAGCCAGCAUUAAUUGCAAUCACACAGUGCCCUGUUAGAUCUCUCUUUCUCUCGACAGCAAAGCCAAUGUCAAAUUAUAACUUGUAAAGUACACAGCAUGAAUUGUACUUGUAACUUGUAGGGUUCUUGGAUUGGAAUAUAUGGAGUUAACUGUCCUCAAUGGAUAAUAGCAACGGAGGUCGGUCACUACCCUGUUUUUCCUAUGUUAUUUGUCCUGGUUUUCAGUAUAAAAAACUAGCUGGCCUGCAGCUAUGGUGUUUUCUGAAAGAAUUAUUGGUGAUGACAUCUCGAUCACGUGCAGGCUUGCAAUGGCCACAGUUUAGUUUGUGUUCCUCUUUAUGAUACAUUAGGUAAUAUUCUCUUUACAUGAUCAGAAAAAUGACUUUUCUUCUAUAGUUAUUAGAUAAAUCAUUGGAGUCGGUGUUGGCUGAAUCAUUUGUCAGCAGCCUUAUAUAUUGUGUGCUGUAUAAACUAACAUGAAAAAAGGCAUAUGAUUUUUAUAAACUUGACAACUGUGAUCAUCAUAUAUUUUAUUUAAGGCACAUCUGUUGAAGUUUGUCAGGUUUUGGAAUUCAAGCAUGUAAAAGCGUUUCUAUAGAAACAGCUCGAGAGUUGAAGACGUUGCAUGAUCAUGCUGAUGCAAUCCACAACAACAAGAAAACAAGUAUUAUUAUGACAAAUACUGGCAUGCCUCCUAAGGUUCUGACAGAAAAAGAAAGACUAUAAAGACAUGUAUUGAUUCUUAUGGAAGAGCAGAAUUAGAUAAAAUGAUUGCUAAGUUUUUCUAUUCUAGCUGCAUUCCUUUCAAUGUAGUUAGAAAUCCAUAUUGGAAGAAGUGUAUUACUAUGCUUGCAAACGGCAAAUUAUCAGGAUAUAUACCUCCCAGUUCAGAAAGGUUACAAACGUCACUUCUUACGGAUGUAAAAAGCGAGGUUGAGCAAAGUUUAGAAAGAAAAAAGUUUAAAUGGAACACGACCGGGGUAUCAAUUGUUUCUGGUGGGUGGACAGACAUUCAAAGACGUCCACUAAUUAAUUUUAUUGCCAUUGCACGUAAUGAACCAAUAUUUUUGAAGGCAGUUGAUGCAUCUGGAGAAUAUCAAGAUGUUGAAUAUUUGAAGCAAUUAUUUAUAGAAGCCAUCAAGGAGGUUGGUCCUGAUAAAGUGGUGCAGCUCAUUACAGACAAUGUUGCUGUAUGCAAAAGUGCUGGACUUAGUUUAAGCAAAUUUUCUGGUAAAAUUAGUCUCCAGUAUGCUGGUUGCAUGCAGAAAUCCCUCAGGAAAGACCUAUUACCAAAUUCUUUCAGUGAACGAUGAUGCAAGUUAUGAUGAAAUAAGAACUAGCUAUAGAUCUUCGCUUCUGAUUUUUCAUCCAGAUAAAAUACAUGGGAAAUGUGGAAUCGGUGAUGAUGAAGUACAUGAAGAUUUUGUCAAAAUACAGAAGGCAUGGGAAGUCCUCAGUGAUUCUAAAUUACGUGCCCGUUAUGACCAUGAGCUGGAAUGUGCUAGGCAUGCUUCUGAGAUUGCAGAAGAUGUUGAUUUGGAAGAAAUGACGGCUGAAGAUAUUGAUGAAAGAACAGAAUUCUUUUAUCCCUGCAGAUGUGGAGAUUGCUUUUCAGUAACAUCUGAAGAACUUCAGGAAAUGGGUCUUCUUUCUGACGUGGGGAAGGAGGAAGGAAAGCUGUUGGAGGAUAUCAAAGCAGACAGAGCUUCAGUUCUUCUUCAUUGCGGCUCAUGUUCUCUGAAAAUCAAACUGAUGGUCCGGUUGUGCCCAUAAGAUGUUGUAUCUUGUUCAAUUUUGUUAGCAGAGGUUUGUGUAGGCAGGAAUUUUUUCUUCUCAUUUCUUGUGAGGAUUGUAUCGGCAUUGAUGAGAUAAAGCUUUUGUCUCUACGCUUCCAAAUUACAUGGAGUAAUAAUGAUGCCAUACGAUCUUAUGUUUU
RNA transcript from Nymphaea colorata (pocket water lily), 2674 nucleotides. RefSeq lists it as uncharacterized. The transcript has 3 exons. NCBI's taxonomy places the organism in Eukaryota, Viridiplantae, Streptophyta, Magnoliopsida, Nymphaeales, Nymphaeaceae. The record is from RefSeq and is a predicted model, not a curated record.